AUCUAGCUGACGAGUUUAAAAUAGGACGAAACGCGCAUCUUGAAU
This 45-nucleotide non-coding RNA is filed under the name Schistosoma mattheei. The record is from RNAcentral. Lineage: Eukaryota; Metazoa; Platyhelminthes; Trematoda; Strigeidida; Schistosomatidae.